AUUUCAUAACAGAGGCCUGGCUUCAGAUCGUUGAGUGCAGGCGUGUUUUGAAAUGGACAUAUGCUUAUGGAUAUUAUUUAGCAGAGCAUGAAUAUGCCAAGAGACAGUUCUUUGAGUACUUGCAAGGUGAGGCAGAGUCUGGGUUGGAAAGGCUUCAUCAAUGUGCAGAAAAAGGAGCUACAUGUUUACCUUAAUGCAGAGGGCCAAUCAAAAGACUUCAAUGAGUUUCGCACAAAACUUGCUGGACUGACCAG
Humulus lupulus (European hop) is the source of this 254-nucleotide long non-coding RNA. RefSeq lists it as uncharacterized. NCBI's taxonomy places the organism in Eukaryota, Viridiplantae, Streptophyta, Magnoliopsida, Rosales, Cannabaceae. The transcript is spliced from 3 exons. The record is from RefSeq and is a predicted model, not a curated record.